UACGAAGGGGGCUAGCGUUGUUCGGAUUUACUGGGCGUAAAGCGCACGUAGGCGGAUCGAUCAAUCAGGGGCGAAAUCCCAGAGCUCAACUCUGGAACUGCCUUUGAUACUGUCGAUCUGGAGUAUGGAAGAGGUGAGUGGAAUUCCGAGUGUAGAGGUGAAAUUCGUAGAUAUUCGGAGGAACACCAGUGGCGAAGGCGGCUCACUGGUCCAUUACUGACGCUGAGGUGCGAAAGCGUGGGGAGCAAACAGG
This 253-nucleotide ribosomal RNA is filed under the name uncultured bacterium. RNAcentral describes it as "partial 16S ribosomal RNA". It matches the Rfam family "Bacterial small subunit ribosomal RNA", at positions 524 to 776 of the family's 1533-position model. The record is from RNAcentral.